Molecule: ribosomal RNA, 498 nt
Filed under: uncultured bacterium
Lineage: Bacteria
Description: partial 16S ribosomal RNA
Rfam family: Bacterial small subunit ribosomal RNA
Source: RNAcentral
AGCGAACGCUGGCGGCGUGCCUAACACAUGCAAGUCGAACGUGAAAAGGGAAACCUGAGUAAAGUGGCGUACGGGUGAGUAACGCGUAGGUAAUCUACCCCAGAAUCUGGAAUAACCUGCCGAAAGGCGGGCUAAUACUGGAUAGAGCGAGGGAACUCGUAAGAGAGUUUUUCGGGAAAGGGAGCCCGCAAGGGCCUUCGUUCUGGGAUGAGCCUGCGUCUCAUUAGCUAGUUGGUAAGGUAACGGCUUACCAAGGCGAUGAUGAGUAGCUGGUCUGAGAGGAUGAUCAGCCACACUGGAACUGAAACACGGUCCAAACUCCUACGGGAGGCAGCAGUGGGGAAUCUUGCGCAAUGGACGAAAGUCUGACGCAGCCACGCCGCGUGAGUGAAGGAGGCCUUCGGGUUGUAAAGCUCUGUCGGAUGGGACGAACAUCUUCAUAGUGAAUAGCUAUGAGGACUGACGGUACCAUCAAAGGAAGCACCGGCUAACUCCGUG